CUUUCAUAGGUCUCCUCUAUCUAAAAGCUGCAGAAAAAUGAUCAAUUUACAGGUAAGACAUCCAUAUAUUCACUGAAUCAUUCAAGUCCAAAAUCCAUAUGAUUAAAAAAAUGGUCAAAAAAUGUAGAUUGAAUAGAAGAUCAGGUCCAAAUGGAAAUUUAGAAAAUUAGUAAGUUGAUGUCCAUGUCAUGGGGUCUGCAUAUAGUUGGAAUAAAUUUGAGUUGCAAAGUAUAUACUCAGUCUUCUUGGAAAUCAUAUUAAAUGGAUUAUCAACUAGUUAAAGUGUUAGCAUUGUUUGUGAAGAUAAAACAAAAUAAUUCCCCAGAUAAGUUUUUUCCCCCUUGAGCUAGAUCUUCUUUAACUGUAAAUUGGCUAUUCUCGUAUAUAGAAAAGUAUGGAUCACACAUUAUUUUGGCUUUAUAGUUAAGAGGAUAUAUUAUAUCAUGUGAAAAAAAAAAAAAAACACCUUGUGAUCCUGUUUUAAAAUGCUUAUGUAAGGAGUUAGGGUUUUAGCUCAGCAGUAGAGUACCUGCCUAGCAUGAGCGAGGCCCUGGGUUUGAUCCUCAGCACCACAUAUAAAUAAAUAAAAUAAAAAAUAAAUAUUUUUUUAAAAUGCUUAUGUAAGCCAGGUGUGUAAACCUUAUCACUUCAGUAACAUUGCAGAUAUUUACUGCCGGAUUUCAGUUCUCGAAACUAAAAGGCUCAGGGGUCGCUCCAGAUAAACUGGGCUAACUGGGCUGCACGAAAUAACCACACAAGAGACACAAAUACCUUUUUCUUUGGGAUUGCUGUGAUGGCUCCUCUGACCUUAAGGGUCUGCAGAAAGAGAGAGAGCGAGAGCAGGCUCUGACCCCUUUUAUUGAGGAGAAGCUAUUCAAAUGAGGCAAGGGGUCAGGUUUCAGGGGGCUGAGUAUCUUCAUGAUGUCCACUUUCAGCAGGUUGACUGACACCUGGGUAGGCCAUAUCCAAGGGCACAGUAAGAGAAGGGGACACACACAGGGCAUUUCCAUGGAAGAUUUUAUCCUAAACAGGGCAAGGGAUUAUAUUACAAAGGAACAGGUGAGGGUAGCUUCAGCCGUGGGGCUGUAGCAAGAUACACGAGACACCGACCACAUUUCUGUGACUGAGCGCCUCAGCACCCAGCCAGGGAGUGUGACCCAGUCAUGUGUAAGGUUGGCCUCCCAGAAUUUACUUUGUAGAGUCUGAUACGUUGUAAGGUCCCUCAGGGGAGCAAUCAUAUUUUUCCUUUUGAAAUCAUUAUUAGUACAGGGUCUUGUAGAUCCUCAUAAAAUAUUCUAUGAAUGAAUUACUAAGAAAUAUAUAAGUGCUAUUCUAAAAUAGUUUUAUUGAAAUGCAAUUCACAUAUCACAACAGUGACUUAAUUUAAGGUGUCAGUUGAGUGGUUUUUAUUAUAGUCACAGCAUUGUACAGCCAUUGCCACUGUAAUUUUAUAACAUUUCAUCAUGCCAGGAAAAAAGGAAUUCCAGAUACCCAUUAGCAAUUACUCCCUAUUCCUCCCUAAUCUGCUUUCUGUUUAUAUGGCUUUUCUAUUCUGAACUUUUCGUAUAAAUGAAGUCAUACAAUAUGUGAUUUUUUGUAACUAGUUUCUUUUACCCAGUACAGUAUUUUCAAGGUUCAUCCCCAUUGUAGAUAUAUCAGUACCUCAUUCCUUUUUAAUGCUGAAUAAUAUUUCAUCCUGUGGAUAUAUCACAUUUUGUUUAUCCAUUUGUCAGGUCAUGGACAUCAGAUUGUUUCCACAUUUUGGCUGCUGUGAAUAAUUCUGCCACAAACAUUUGUGUAUAAAUUUUUACAUAUACAAGGGUUUUGAUUCUAUUAGGUAUAUACUUAGGAGUGGAAUUCCUAGUCAUAUGUUUAACAUUUUGAGAAACCGCCAAACUGUCUUCCAUAGUUGCUACACUAUUUUGCAAUCCCACCAGAAAUGUAUGAGUUCCUCUUUCUCAAUGUGCUUGCUAACACUUGUAAUUGUCUGCCUUUUAUUUUAGCCACCAUCAUGGGUGUGCUGUGGUACCUUAUUGUGGUUUUGAUUUGCAUUUCACUAAUGAAUAAUGAUAUUUAUCAUUAUUUCAUGUGCUUAUUGACCUUUCUCAUAUAUAUAUAACAAUCUGGUGUCCAUGAACUGACAAAUGGAUAAACAAAGUGUAAUAUAGUCACAAGAUGAAAUAUUAUUCAGUACUAAAAAAAGGAAUGAAGUACUGAUAUAUUUACAACAGAAAUCAACCUUGAAAAUAUUGUACUGUAGUACAAGAUCUAUACACACAUGCACAUAUCACUUCAGGCAUUGCAGUUGUUUACUUUGUAAAGUCUAAUAUAUAUAUAAAUAAAUCUGGAGAAAUGUCUGUUUAAAUCCUUUGCUGAUUUUUAAUUUAAGUUGUCUUUUCUUGAAUUUUAAGAGUGCUUUUUUCUGAUAUAGAUCUCUUGUCAGAUAUAUGAUCUGUAAAUAUUUUCUCUUAGUCUGCGAGUUUUUCUUUUCUUUUCCUUUUUGGUACUGGGGAUUGAACCCAAAGGGUGCUUUACCAGUAAAGGUACAUUCCAGACCUUUUUAUUUUUUACUUUGAGACAGGCUCUCACUAAGUUGCUUAGGACCUCAAUAAAUUGCUGAGGCUAACCUUGAACUUGUGAUCCUUCUAUCCUUCUGCCUUAGCCUCCUGAGUAGCUGGGAUUACAGGCAUGCAUCACCACACCCAGGUUUACUUAUUUUAUUGUGUUCUAUGAAGCACAAAGUUUUUAAGGUUGUUUGUGUGUGUGUGUGGUGCUGGGAAUGGAACCCAGGGCCUUGUGCAUGCAAGACAAGCACUCUACCAACUGAGCUAUAUCCUCAGUUUUUUAGUUUUGAUGAAUUCAAAUUGAUUUUAUCAUUUGUCCCUUAUACUUUUCUGUCAUAUUUAAGAAGCCAUUGCCUGGGGGCUGGGUUGUAACUCAGUGGUAGAGUACUUGCCUAGCACAUCUGAGACACUGGGUUUUAUCAUCAGUACCACGUAAAAUUAAAUAAAAUAAAGGUAUUGUGUCCAUCUACAACUUAAAAAAAAAAAAGAAGAAGAAGAAGCCACUGCCAAAGAUUUUCUCCUGUGUCUUUUUCCUAAGAGUUUAACAGUUUUAGUCCUGACAUGUAGGUCCCUAGUCCAUUUUAGUUCAUAUUUUGUUUGUUUUAUGAGGUGGGUGGGAGAUCAACUUUAUUCUUCUGUGUGGGGGAAUCUAAUUGUCUCAGCACCAUUUUCUUUCCCUUGUUGAAUUUUUCUGGCACUAGUUGGACUUUUUAAUACGAUUUUUGUUGCUAUUGCAAAGUUUAUUUCUGAAUCAAGUGUAUAGUAGUUACUGUACAUAAUUUUCUACACACUCAAGAGUCAAGGUGAUAUUAAGAGAUUAUCAUGAUUCUCUUGCAAGUCCCUAAUAAUGCACACACUAGUUUGAAGAAGAAUGUGCUAUUACAGGAAUCAGUGACAUUCCAGGAUGUGGCUGUGGACUUCACUUCAGAGGAAUGGCAGCUGCUUGAUUGUGAUCAGAGAUCCCUCCCUGUAUUGGGAUGUGAUGUUGGAGAACUAUAAAAACCUCAUGUCAGUGGGUAAGGACAGAGGGUGGUAACUGUGUAACUUGGAAUGUACCAAUAUAGUGCACUCCCUUUAAGACAUGUGAGAGCUGGGAACAUUCUGAAGCAUUAAUAAAAU
This 3683-nucleotide long non-coding RNA is filed under the name Marmota monax (woodchuck). The record is from RNAcentral. Lineage: Eukaryota; Metazoa; Chordata; Mammalia; Rodentia; Sciuridae.